CACGUAGGGGGCAAGCGUUGUCCGGAAUCAUUGGGCGUAAAGAGCUCGUAGGCGGCUCAGUAAGUCGGGUGUGAAACCCUCAGGCUCAACCUGGGGACGCCACCCGAUACUGCUGUGGCUAGAGUCCAGUAGGGGAGUGUGGAAUUCCCGGUGUAGCGGUGAAAUGCGCAGAUAUCGGGAGGAACACCAGCGGCGAAGGCGGCACUCUGGGCUGGUACUGACGCUGAGGCGCGAAAGCUAGGGGAGCAAACGGG
This 254-nucleotide ribosomal RNA is filed under the name uncultured bacterium. Its description in RNAcentral is "partial 16S ribosomal RNA". It matches the Rfam family "Bacterial small subunit ribosomal RNA", at positions 524 to 776 of the family's 1533-position model. The record is from RNAcentral.